Molecule: long non-coding RNA, 1458 nt
Organism: Tetranychus urticae (two-spotted spider mite)
Lineage: Eukaryota; Metazoa; Arthropoda; Arachnida; Trombidiformes; Tetranychidae
Source: RefSeq, a predicted model, not a curated record
AAAUCACAAUUUACUUAAUUGCUAUCUAACAAUGUUUUAGCUCUUCGGAAUGGCCGAGCUUUGCGUUUACCAAUUUUGUCUCUCCAACUUUUAUCCUUUUCUUUGGGUUUACUUUUAGUUUUAUCCUCUUUAUUAUCUUUAUUACCGUUGCCGUUACUACUGCCGCUGGCACUGACACUGCCACUUGUACUGACACUACUGCUAGUACUGGCACUGCCAGUUCCGCUGAUGGAACCUUUAUUACUUUCAAUUACAGAUCGCUAUUUGAAAUGUAACCCGAUGUACUUGUUGAUGCUGAUCUUUCCGACCGAGCUGACUGCUGUUGUAAACCAAGUAAAUCACUUCCAGCUAUAUUGAGUGCAUGAGGAAGAGUCAUUCGUCUAAAUCUAUUUGGUGAUUCAAUUUUAUGUAAAUCAACACUUCGAGGAUCAGCCUAGAUAAACACGCAAAAAAAGGAGAAACAAGAUAGGAUUGAUCAAUGAAACGAGUAUAAAAAAACAAAUGAAGGAAAAACUCGAAGAUUAUAAAUACUUGGAGAUGGAGUUUAAGGAGAAAUGAUUGAAAUUAAUGUUUCAUUAUUUCAUUAUCAGUAACUGAUCAAGACGGAAAGUUAAUGAUAAAAAUAACCGGGUUAACAAUCAAUAACAAGGGAACACACACACAAAAGCCUAAAUCUAUUUCUACUGUCAAGCAACUGUGAUUCCAAGUUGAACCUAUUUCAAGAUGAUAAUGCAUAUAAUUACCUGGAAAGCAAGAGCAUUCAUGAUAACAUGGUCCGGAACAACUCCCAAUGGAUGUACUUCUCUCAUCAAUACUGUGGCUGGAAUUUUGUAAAACUCGAUACACUCGAAAAAUCCAGACAUAACUUCCCUUAAAUCAGUUGAACCCGGUGAAGCAUCACAGUACCGUUGGCUCCAUGAAAGAGCAGCAUGAAAUUUGGUCAAUUCAUCGGCUUUCAACUCUUCACGUGAUAAAAUGAGGCGAACAACAUGUUCAGGUAAAAGGGCAAAAGAACCUAAACAAAGAACAUCAUUUCCAUGUUGAUCGACAAACUCGAGAACCUUUGAAAUUGGAAUAAAGGAGAAGAAGAACAAUCAAGCCAACAUUGCCAAUUGUGCAAACAAUUACACCAACAGUUGGGAAUGGAAUUGAUAAAAAUGUAAAUAUUUGAAAGAGAACCAGAAACGAGUUGAAUAUAUCAUUAUAAACAGCAACACUUUCAUUUCAACUCCCAGUUGAUUAACAUGGAUUAUCACCUUCACUAAUGAAUUCACUGAGCCAACCCUGUCAUUGGACCCGGCAAUUAAAAUGAAUAUCAACAAGAGAAUUGAAUUGUUCACAAUUUUAUUUCACUUCUCCUCCAUCUCAACAAUUUACUCAUCUAAUCAUGUUUCCAUAUUGUAGUCAAUGUGCAUUUUGUAGACAUUUUGUUUCAAUUGAUUAACUUUUCUCAUCUCA